RNAcentral lists this ribosomal RNA (252 nucleotides) under uncultured Bacteroidales bacterium. RNAcentral's name for it is "partial 16S ribosomal RNA". It matches the Rfam family "Bacterial small subunit ribosomal RNA", at positions 524 to 776 of the family's 1533-position model. The record is from RNAcentral. Lineage: Bacteria; Pseudomonadati; Bacteroidota; Bacteroidia; Bacteroidales.
UACGGAGGAUGCGAGCGUUAUCCGGAUUUAUUGGGUUUAAAGGGUGCGUAGGCGGUCCGUUAAGUCAGCGGUAAAAUACGGGGGCUCAACCUGCGUCCGCCGUUGAAACUGGCGUUCUUGAGUGGGCGAGAAGUACGCGGAAUGCGUGGUGUAGCGGUGAAAUGCAUAGAUAUCACGCAGAACUCCGAUCGCGAAGGCAGCCUACCGGCGCGCUACUGACGCUCAUGCACGAAAGCGUGGGUAUCGAACAGG